Molecule: ribosomal RNA, 480 nt
Filed under: uncultured bacterium
Lineage: Bacteria
Description: partial 16S ribosomal RNA
Rfam family: Bacterial small subunit ribosomal RNA
Source: RNAcentral
GACGAACGCUGGCGGCGUGCUUAACACAUGCAAGUCGAGCGGAAAGGCCCUUUCGGGGGUACUCGAGCGGCGAACGGGUGAGUAACACGUGAGUAAUCUGCCCCUGGCUUUGGGAUAGCCACCGGAAACGGUGAUUAAUACCGGAUACGACAACUUCUCGCCUGGGAAGGUGGUGGAAAGUUUUUCGGCCAGGGAUGUGCUCGCGGCCUAUCAGCUUGAUGGUGAGGUAAUGGCUCACCAUGGCUUCGACGGGUAGCCGGCCUGAGAGGGUGACCGGUCACACUGGGACUGAGACACGGCCCAGACUCCUACGGGAGGCAGCAGUGGGGAAUAUUGGACAAUGGGCGGAAGCCUGAUCCAGCGACGCCGCGUGAGGGAUGACGGCCUUCGGGUUGUAAACCUCUUUCAGCAGGGACGAAGCGCAAGUGACGGUACCUGCAGAAGAAGCACCGGCCAACUACGUGCCAGCCGCCGCGGUAA